RNAcentral lists this ribosomal RNA (225 nucleotides) under uncultured bacterium. Its description in RNAcentral is "partial 16S ribosomal RNA". It matches the Rfam family "Bacterial small subunit ribosomal RNA", at positions 109 to 334 of the family's 1533-position model. The record is from RNAcentral.
CGUAACGCGUAGGCAACCUGCCCUUAGUUGUGGAAUAACUACGGGAAACCGUAGCUAAUACCGCAUAAUGUCUCAUGAACACAUGUUCGCGAGAUCAAAACUCCGGUGACUAAGGAUGGGCCUGCGUUGGAUUAGGUAGUUGGUGAGGUAACGGCUCACCAAGCCUACGAUCCAUAGCUGGUCUGAGAGGAUGAUCAGCCACACUGGCACUGAGACACGGGCCAG